Alosa alosa (allis shad) is the source of this 75-nucleotide non-coding RNA. The record is from the annotation of a RefSeq genome assembly. NCBI's taxonomy places the organism in Eukaryota, Metazoa, Chordata, Actinopteri, Clupeiformes, Clupeidae.
GUCUCUGUGGCGCAAUCGGUUAGCUGCUCGCGGCUGUUAACCGAAAGGUUGGUGGUUCGAGCCCACCCAGGGACG